AUUGGGGUAGUUUUGGUCCCCAGAGGCAAAAGCGUCCCCAAUGAACGGGUGUGUCAGCUGAUAUAAGUCCCCAAUUUUGACACAAGUAAACACACAGACGCACACACAGAUAAGCAAACACUGAAAACGCCCCCCAAAAAACAGGAGGUUGGAAAGAAAACGACUGAAGCGCCGUGAAGACGUUUCACCUCUCACCCAAGAGACUUCUUCAGUGCGGCGUUAUCAUGAAGCCCUUCGAGCCUGCAUAAAACCAGGCUCAAAGAAAUGACGCUUUAACAGAGGGCAUUCUUAUAAGUGCAUCAAUCUGAGCUGGAGAGGACUGAAGGCUUCCUGUGGACUUCCUGUGGACUUCGACAAAAAGCCCUGUCAGAAAGAGACCCAAUAGGGCCCAGCAGGUGAAUGUAAAGAAACGUGAGAGGACUCCCCUCUGAUCAGCCUUUCAGACCCAGACAAUGGGCCAGCCCACCUCUUGUACUGCUGCAUUAAAACCCUGAUUAAAGCUCUUCCUGUUAGCGAUUGAUUGAGGAUGCAAAACUAAAACCAACAAAAACCCGCGCUGCUGAGGCCUGAUAAUGACUGGGCCCCACCUACAAAGCACAGGCUUCAAAUGAUUAGUGGGGUUUUGUUUUCUUAGUAGGUGUGAGAGUGUGUGUGCGUGUGAGUGAGUGUGUGUGUUAGAGAAAAAGAGA
Molecule: long non-coding RNA, 689 nt
Organism: Oreochromis aureus
Lineage: Eukaryota; Metazoa; Chordata; Actinopteri; Cichliformes; Cichlidae
Exons: 4
Source: RefSeq, a predicted model, not a curated record